UCAUUAAAUAAAUACUUUUGAUAUAAAAGCAAGUUCUAAACUUAGAGACAAUUAAUUUCUACCUCUGAAUAACCGAUAAAAUAACACAAUUGAUCAAUCAAAUUUACAAAAAUCUAAAUUGUUCAUAACUCAACAAAAUACGAAAAAUUACUCCCACCCAAUAUCACCUAUUCAGAGUGUGGAUCUCCAAUCGAUAACCUGAAAUAAUUGCGCUCUCGCAAGCGCCAAACACAAGCAACGAGGGGUGAGCUUCGAAAACAUGUAAUGGUAUAAAAUAACUGAGAAGAACACGUAAAAAAAUAUUAAACACCGUAUCAUAUCAAAUCAUAACCAACAAGAAUAAUCAAGGUAAAACAUUGAUACAAUCCACAACAUCAAGUAAGUAAAUACACAAAUCAAGUAAUGUUAUGCAUGCUCUUAUACUCUAGACUCCUCCUCUUUCUUUGGUACCAUUCUAACUCUGAAGUACUUGGUUAGGAGGCUCGAUACUAUGCCACCACGCAAGUGGACGGACAAUUCAAAUUGGCCCUGUCCUCAUAGAUCCCUCAACUCAACCCGAGACACAUAUACGUGACAGUCGAGGUAAACGUGUGUUGCGUGGUAGCUCCCGACAUUUGGAGUGCUACCUCCAAGUCACCUAGGAAUUCCCCACCCGGAUACCUCCAAGGUCUAACAAUCUUGCCUUAAGGCUCAACAGUAGACCGCCACGAUCAGGCUCAUUCAGUUGUACUUCCCCAUAAUCACUAGGCUUGUCAGGCCCUACCUAUAUGAUGACCAAAUAAUCUCCACUUCAAAAAUUAUCAACAACGACUUUAUCCCCUCGUUGUCCUGGGUCACUUACUCCAUUAAGAGAACCAUCAUUGGCACGGGUCGAAUUCGUCACUAUUCAAUUAAACACAAUACACAUUUCAUGAUAUUCAUCAGGGUGGUAAUAUCACAAGUCAGGGAGCACACAUCGUCAUUGCAGAUUUCCAUAGUCAUACAUUACAUUCAAAAUUUAUCAUCAUGAUACGUCAUCUCAAACAAUAAAGGGUUUACACUCACAUAUGAUAAUAAUACUAGACCAUUCACACACACCACAUCAAUUGCAAGGCAAAUAAUUACAAUUCAUCACAUUUUAUAUCAUAUAUCAGUAUCAAGGAUAGAUAUAAACAAAACACAGAAUGAAUCAAAUACACAAUUCUACAAUAAUUCAACUAUCACACGAUCUUCAAAAAUCAAAUCAAACAACAUCCUAUAAAAGUUUCUAAUUCAUAUUUUAACCUCACAAAAUUCAAGUUUGCUCAUUAGUCAAUUAUUACUCAAAGGCCUUCUGCCAUACGUAGCGAGCCCCGAAUG
RNAcentral lists this long non-coding RNA (1338 nucleotides) under Cicer arietinum (chickpea). RNAcentral describes it as "long non-coding RNA (CARI_LNC001112)". The record is from RNAcentral. Lineage: Eukaryota; Viridiplantae; Streptophyta; Magnoliopsida; Fabales; Fabaceae.